Molecule: long non-coding RNA, 501 nt
Organism: Bufo gargarizans (Asiatic toad)
Lineage: Eukaryota; Metazoa; Chordata; Amphibia; Anura; Bufonidae
Exons: 2
Source: RefSeq, a predicted model, not a curated record
UCACGUGACCGGCCUCCUAGUAGGCAUUGCUUGACAUGAUGGAGCGAGCUGCGCUGGGAUAGUUCCUCCUGGCAGCCGCUGUGAGCUAACUUCCAUGAGUUGCACCCCACUUUUAUUUUUUAUUUUUUUUAUGAAGGUCGUAAGCAAUCAAGUUAUGCCAAGGGCAUCUUUAUUCUGGGUGCACCUCUGGUGCCAGCUUCAGCCAUUCACAGUACUUGCUUUUUUGCGGAGCGCAAAAAUGAAUUAUACACCUUUGCUCUGUGAGAAAGGGAAAAUCACCAGUACGUACCCUAAAAUGGCGUCCAUUCUGGUUGUUGCCUCCAGUAUCCGUGCUCUGAGUGAGGUGCAUAAAGACAUUUUGGGGUCACUUAAUAAGGUGUCGCUGUUUCUAAAUGGAGUCCUGGAGAAACUGAUUGCCUGUAGGCAGCAACUGACCCCUAGUGGUGGCAUGGUGGUAUUACAAGGGGGAAAAUGAGUAUCAUUAAAUGUAAUAUAGGUUGA